AUUGAACGCUGGCGGCAUGCUUUACACAUGCAAGUCGAACGGUAACAGGGAGCUUGCUCCGCUGACGAGUGGCGAACGGGUGAGUAAUGCAUCGGAACGUACCCAGUCGUGGGGGAUAACGUAGCGAAAGUUACGCUAAUACCGCAUACGUCCUGAGGGAGAAAGCGGGGGACCGUAAGGCCUCGCGCGAUUGGAGCGGCCGAUGUCGGAUUAGCUAGUUGGUAGGGUAAAGGCCUACCAAGGCGACGAUCCGUAGCGGGUCUGAGAGGAUGAUCCGCCACACUGGGACUGAGACACGGCCCAGACUCCUACGGGAGGCAGCAGUGGGGAAUUUUGGACAAUGGGCGAAAGCCUGAUCCAGCCAUGCCGCGUGAGUGAAGAAGGCCUUCGGGUUGUAAACUUCUUUUGGUAUGGGGCGAAAAACGGGAUUUAUCCUGGACUGACGGUACCAUCAGAAUAAGCACCGGCUAACUCCGUG
RNAcentral lists this ribosomal RNA (478 nucleotides) under uncultured bacterium. RNAcentral's name for it is "bacterial SSU rRNA". It matches the Rfam family "Bacterial small subunit ribosomal RNA", at positions 30 to 507 of the family's 1533-position model. The record is from RNAcentral.